Molecule: long non-coding RNA, 570 nt
Organism: Vigna unguiculata (cowpea)
Lineage: Eukaryota; Viridiplantae; Streptophyta; Magnoliopsida; Fabales; Fabaceae
Source: RefSeq, a predicted model, not a curated record
GGAACAAGAGGGACAGAGGUUGCUUGCGCAAAUGUAGCUAAUUUGGUCUUCGGUGUCAAGCAUCAUCUAAAAAGAAAAGAAAAGAAAAGAAAUGAAAAGAAAAAGGAACGGUAAAGUGAAGAAGAAGUGAUUUGGGAUGAGAGAAUGUGGUUGUUAAGCCCAACCAAGCAGAUUUAUCUCAUGUCUAAAACUCUGCUGAAGCUGAGAGAGGUGAAUAUGGUGAAGAUUGUAGCUGUCAGAGCCUACUGGAUCGAAGAAUACAGUCUUUGACAGCAAAAUCUUGCUCAGCCAAAUAAAUGUGAAGAAGCAUGAGAUAGUCGUAGCAGAAACUGUUUCUGAGUUUUGUUCUUUUCAUCUUCUGCUUUGAGUUUUUAUUUCUGAUGCUGCCGAUCGUGAUAUUGGCAAGACGGCUCAAUCUGUUAGCUUUCUUAUAGCUUUAUAUAUAUUAUCAUCUGUUUUUCUUCUCUUUGUUCUUCUUGUCUCUUUGUUCUUGGAUCAAUGUUAAUAUGCAAGAAGAAGUGGAGAUUAACUAAUGCCAAAGAAAAUAGUAUUUCUAUUGAUUUGUUGUUA